UUUUUUUAGGAGGGGAGGAUGUGAUAUACUAAACCUUAGCAAAUUGGCAAGGUUACAGUAUAAGUUUAUGCUUGAUUGAGUUGGAGACGUUUUGCGCAAAAUAAACGUAAAAACGAACUUUGAAACUCAAGAUUUAUAUUGUAGAGGACUAAAGUGGAAUACUUAGUUGUAGAGGGGCUUGUUGGCAAUUUUGCUUUAUUAAAGCGGUGGAGUCCACGUGCUUCCCCCAUCCUUAUCCC
RNAcentral lists this long non-coding RNA (239 nucleotides) under Ananas comosus (pineapple). RNAcentral describes it as "long non-coding RNA (ACOM_LNC025969)". The record is from RNAcentral. Lineage: Eukaryota; Viridiplantae; Streptophyta; Magnoliopsida; Poales; Bromeliaceae.